RNAcentral lists this transfer RNA (82 nucleotides) under Gemmatales bacterium. RNAcentral describes it as "tRNA-Leu". It matches the Rfam family "tRNA". Rfam says of the family: Transfer RNA (tRNA) molecules are approximately 80 nucleotides in length. The record is from RNAcentral. Lineage: Bacteria; Pseudomonadati; Planctomycetota; Planctomycetia; Gemmatales.
GGCCGAGUGGUGGAAUUGGCAUACACGUGGGUUUUAGGAACCCAUGCCGCAAGGCUUGCGGGUUCGAGUCCCGCCUCGGCCA